RNAcentral lists this ribosomal RNA (786 nucleotides) under uncultured bacterium. RNAcentral describes it as "bacterial SSU rRNA". It matches the Rfam family "Bacterial small subunit ribosomal RNA", at positions 62 to 835 of the family's 1533-position model. The record is from RNAcentral.
UCGAGGGGCAUCGGGGCGAGGAGCAAUCCUUGCCGCCGGCGACCGGCGCACGGGUGAGUAACGCGUAUGCGACCUGCCCGUUGCAGGGGGAUAAUCGGGAGAAAUCCCGUCUAAUACCGCGUAAUGCCGCGGGGCUGCAUGGCCCUGCGGCCAAAGGAAGCGAUUCCGGCAACGGAUGGGCAUGCGUGACAUUAGCUAGUUGGCGGGGCAACGGCCCACCAAGGCGACGAUGUCUAGGGGUUCUGAGAGGAAGGUCCCCCACACUGGUACUGAGACACGGACCACACUUAUACGGGAGGCAGCAGUGGGGAAUAUUGGUCAAUGGGCGAUAGCCUGAACCAGCCAAGUCGCGUGAGGGAAGACGGCCCUAUGGGUUGUAAACCUCUUUUGUCGGGGAGCAAGGUCGCUACGAGUAGCGAUUUGAGAGUACCCGAAGAAAAAGCAUCGGCUAACUCCGUGCCAGCAGCCGCGGUAAUACGGAGGAUGCGAGCGUUAUCCGGAUUUAUUGGGUUUAAAGGGUGCGUAGGCGGGAGAUCAAGUCAGCGGUAAAAAUGCGGGGCCCAACCCCGUCGAGCCGUUGAAACUGGUUUUCUUGAGUGGGCGAGAGGUAUGCGGAAUGCGUGGUGUAGCGGUGAAAUGCAUAGAUAUCACGCAGAACCCCGAUUGCGAAGGCAGCAUACCGGCGCCCAACUGACGCUGAGGCACGAAAGCGUGGGUAUCGAACAGGAUUAGAUACCCUGGUAGUCCACGCAGUAAACGAUGAACACUACCUGUUCGGUCUGACUG